AACGCGAAGAACCUUACCUGGGCUCGAACGGCUUAAGAUCAUCCUUGGAAACAGGGACUUCUCGCAAGAGACUUGAGUCGAGGUGCUGCAUGGCUGUCGUCAGCUCGUGUCGUGAGAUGUUGGGUUAAGUCCCGCAACGAGCGCAACCCUUGUCCUGUGUUGCCAUCAUUUAGUUGGGAACUCUCAGGAGACCGCCAGCGAUAAGCUGGAGGAAGGUGGGGAUGAUGUCAAGUCAUCAUGGCCUUUAUGUCCAGGGCUACACACGUGCUACAAUGGCCGGUACAAAGCGCUGCAAACUCGCAAGAGGGAGCUAAUCGCAAAAAACCGGUCUCAGUUCGGAUCGCAGGCUGCAACUCGCCUGCGUGAAGCUGGAAUCGCUAGUAAUGCCGUAUCAGAACGAUGGCGUGAAUACGUUCCCGGGCCUUGUA
RNAcentral lists this ribosomal RNA (428 nucleotides) under uncultured Acidobacterium sp. RNAcentral's name for it is "bacterial SSU rRNA". It matches the Rfam family "Bacterial small subunit ribosomal RNA", at positions 958 to 1385 of the family's 1533-position model. The record is from RNAcentral. Lineage: Bacteria; Pseudomonadati; Acidobacteriota; Terriglobia; Terriglobales; Acidobacteriaceae.